This 776-nucleotide ribosomal RNA is filed under the name uncultured Neocallimastigales. RNAcentral describes it as "partial large subunit ribosomal RNA". It matches the Rfam family "Eukaryotic large subunit ribosomal RNA", at positions 26 to 639 of the family's 3401-position model. Lineage: Eukaryota; Fungi; Neocallimastigomycota; Neocallimastigomycetes; Neocallimastigales. The record is from RNAcentral.
CGCAUCUGUGCAUGCAGCAUAUCAAUAAGCGGAGGAAAAGAAACUAACAAGGAUUCCCUUAGUAACGGCGAGUGAAGCGGGAAGAGCUCAAAUUUGAAAUCUUCAAGGUUUUACCUUGACGAAUUGUAGUUUAAAGAAGUGUUUUUCUGUUGAAGUUUUGGUAAAAGUUCUUUGGAAUAGGACAUCAUAGAGGGUGAGAAUCCCGUAUUUGACCAUUAUUUUCAGCUGUGUGAUACACUUUCAAAGAGUCGGAUUGUUUGGGAAUGCAGUCCAAAAUGGGUGGUAAAUUUCAUCUAAAGCUAAAUAUUGGCGAGAGACCGAUAGCGAACAAGUACCGUGAGGGAAAGAUGAAAAGAACUUUGAAAAGAGAGUUAAACAGUACGUGAAAUUGUCAAAAGGGAAGCGUUUGACACCAGUGUUGUUUUCUCGAAAAUCAAUUAAAAAGAGUUUGAUUUUGUUGUGUAUUGACCUUAACAGCUUGCAUUUCAAUUUUCUUGCUUUUUUUAAUGCACUUUUCGUUUAACAAGUCAACAUCAGUUUCUUUUGUUGUAAAAAGGUCAUUGGAAGGUGGCUUUCUUUUCGGAGAAAGUGUUUAUAGCCUUUGACUCCUGCAAUCGGAGAGACUGAGGUCUGCAGCGUAGAUCCUUCGGGGUUAGAUACAUUUGUGCUAAGUUAUAGCUUUUUUAUAGACAACUUGUUGACUAUGAUUAGUCUUGUAGCUUACUCGCUUAUGCUAUUUUACCUACGCUUAGGAUGUUGACGCGCGUGUGUGCGUG